GACGAACGCUGGCGGCGUGCCUAAUACAUGCAAGUAGAACGCACAGUUUAUACCGUAGCUUGCUACACCAUAAACUGUGAGUUGCGAACGGGUGAGUAACGCGUAGGUAACCUGCCUGGUAGCGGGGGAUAACUAUUGAAAACGAUAGCUAAUACCGCAUAAUAUUGAUUAUUGCAUGAUAAUUGAUUGAACGAUGCUAUUGCAUCACUACCAGAUGGACCUGCGUUGUAUUAGCUAGUAGGUGAGGUAACGGCUCACCUAGGCGACGAUACAUAGCCGACCUGAGAGGGUGAUCGGCCACACUGGGACUGAGACACGGCCCAGACUCCUACGGGAGGAAGCAGUAGGGAAUCUUCGGCAAUGGACGAAAGUCUGACCGAGCAACGCCGCGUGAGGGAAGAAGGUUUUCGGAUCGUAAAGCUCUGUUGUAAGAGAAGAACGGGUGUGAGAGUGGAAAGUUCACACUGUGACGGUAUCUGACCAGAAAGGGACGGCUAACUACGUG
Molecule: ribosomal RNA, 505 nt
Filed under: uncultured bacterium
Lineage: Bacteria
Description: partial 16S ribosomal RNA
Rfam family: Bacterial small subunit ribosomal RNA
Source: RNAcentral